Vombatus ursinus (common wombat) is the source of this 125-nucleotide small nuclear RNA. Lineage: Eukaryota; Metazoa; Chordata; Mammalia; Diprotodontia; Vombatidae. The record is from Ensembl.
GUCAUGUGGGGAAAGAGAGAAAGUUAGUAUUCCUCUUGAGAAGGACAGAAGAGGUUCUAGUGACUUUUGGUCAUAUACGGAUAUAAUAGUGCCACUUACUCAGUGGCAUUUAACCAUGUUUCCUU